Molecule: non-coding RNA, 785 nt
Organism: Bactrocera oleae (olive fruit fly)
Lineage: Eukaryota; Metazoa; Arthropoda; Insecta; Diptera; Tephritidae
Source: RefSeq, a predicted model, not a curated record
GAAACGUUUGCUGCUGACUCACACAUUGCUCAAAACAGCUACAGUCAAUAUGGAGCGAAUUCAACAAGGUCUAUAUGGAUAAAGACUCGUGGCCAAAUGUCGAUUGCCAAGUGAAUUGAUAUGUAUUUUUAAAAGCAACUUUCGAAUUAACCGUUAAUCUUUGAAUAAAUUGUGUAUUAUGUUGAAAGGUUACGAGAGGAAAAACACUAAGUACCGGAAGGCAAUUCAAUUAUAAAUACGUAUUGCAAUUACUUUAUAUGCUGUUGGCUCUUCUGCAGGAUACCGAAAUUGCAAAAGCUCUGUCCGCACUAUUCUAAUUGAGUUAUACUAUGAAGUCUGGCGAUGUUUGUGGCCUUUGUAUUUGAAUAAAUUUCCAAUGAACGAAGUUCAAUUGCGUGAGUAUUUAAACGGGUUUGAGUCAUUAAGUCUCCCUCAAGUGUUAGCAGAAGACGCUGUUGACUAUUAUAAUAAUAUAGGCUGGUAUUAUACAGUUAUUUUGGAUUUAGUAUAUGCAAGAUGUCGCUUUAUAUACAUCAACAUUGGUAGUACAAGCCGUUGUAAUGACUCUUCCAUUUUUGAGAGUUCGUCUUUAAAAUGCCAGUUUUUACAAUCUAGCUUGUUUAAAGAAAUAAGUAGACCAAUAUCAUCAGUUAAUGUUCCAGUCGUUUUGUUGGAACUCUGCGUUCGAACUUGAUGAUUUUGUAUAAACCAACCAUUGCAUAAAAAUUUGAUAUUAUAAGUCAUAAUAAUUCAUAAAAUCAAUAAAGCAUAACUUAUUAUUGUCA